RNAcentral lists this ribosomal RNA (274 nucleotides) under uncultured bacterium. RNAcentral's name for it is "partial 16S ribosomal RNA". It matches the Rfam family "Archaeal small subunit ribosomal RNA", at positions 473 to 747 of the family's 1478-position model. The record is from RNAcentral.
AAACCAGCACCUCAAGUGGUCAGGAUGAUUAUUGGGCCUAAAGCAUCCGUAGCCGGCUCUGUAAGUUUUCGGUUAAAUCUGUACGCUUAACGUACAGGCUGCCGGGAAUACUGCAGAGCUAGGGAGUGGGAGAGGUAGACGGUACUCGAUAGGAAGGGGUAAAAUCCUUUGAUCUAUUGAUGACCACCUGUGGCGAAGGCGGUCUACCAGAACAUGUCCGACGGUGAGGGAUGAAAGCUGGGGGAGCAAACCGGAUUAGAUACCCCCGUAGUCC